RNAcentral lists this ribosomal RNA (230 nucleotides) under uncultured bacterium. RNAcentral describes it as "partial 16S ribosomal RNA". It matches the Rfam family "Bacterial small subunit ribosomal RNA", at positions 524 to 753 of the family's 1533-position model. The record is from RNAcentral.
UACAGAGGUCCCAAGCGUUGUUCGGAUUCACUGGGCGUAAAGGGUGCGUAGGCGGAUCGUUAAGUCGGGGGUGAAAUCCUGGAGCUCAACUCCAGAACUGCCUUCGAUACUGGCGAUCUUGAGUCCGGAAGAGGUGAGUGGAACUCCUAGUGUAGAGGUGGAAUUCGUAGAUAUUAGGAAGAACACCAGUGGCGAAGGCGGCUCACUGGUCCGGUACUGACGCUGAGGUG